UACGGGGGGAGCAAGCGUUGUUCGGAUUUACUGGGCGUAAAGGGCGCGUAGGCGGCCACUGCAAGUCAGUUGUGAAAUCUCCGGGCUUAACCCGGAAAGGUCAACUGAUACUGCAGGGCUAGAGUGCAGAAGGGGCAACUGGAAUUCUCGGUGUAGCGGUGAAAUGCGUAGAUAUCUGGAGGAACACCGGUGGCGAAGGCGGCGUUCUGGGCAGUAACUGACGCUGAGGAGCGAAAGCGUGGGGAGCGAACAGG
Molecule: ribosomal RNA, 254 nt
Filed under: uncultured bacterium
Lineage: Bacteria
Description: partial 16S ribosomal RNA
Rfam family: Bacterial small subunit ribosomal RNA
Source: RNAcentral